GUCUUUUUGAUCAUAAUUUAAAGUCUAACCUGCCCACUGAGUUAUUGAAUGGCCGCGGUAUUUUGACCGUGCAAAGGUAGCAUAAUCAUUAGUUUUUUAAUUGGAAGCUGGUAUGAAUGGUUGAAUAAGAAAAAAACUGUCUCAAUUUAAUUUUUAGAAUUUUAUUUUUAAGUUAAAAAGCUUAAAUUUCUUUAAAAGACGAGAAGACCCUAUAGAGUUUAAUAAGUUUAUAAGUUAUUUUUUUUUAGUAUUAAUAGAUUUAAUUUAUUAUAUUUAUUUGAUUGGGGUGAUUGAAAAAUUGAAUAAACUUUUUUUAUAUUUUUACAUAAAUUAAUGAAUAAAUGAUCCAUUUUAUGAUUAAAAGAAUAAAUUACCUUAGGGAUAACAGCGUAAUUUUCUUUUAGAGUUCUAAUCGAAAGGAAAGAUUGCGACCUCGAUGUUGGAUUAAAGUUAAUUUUUGGUGUAGAAGCUAUAAUAUUAGGUCUGUUCGACCUUUAAAACUUUACA
Molecule: ribosomal RNA, 507 nt
Filed under: Corynomalus tarsatus
Lineage: Eukaryota; Metazoa; Arthropoda; Insecta; Coleoptera; Endomychidae
Description: partial 16S ribosomal RNA
Rfam family: Bacterial large subunit ribosomal RNA (bases 381-507)
Source: RNAcentral